UACGUAGGGACCAAGCGUUGUUCGGAUUUACUGGGCGUAAAGGGCGCGUAGGCGGCCAGCACAAGUCAGUUGUGAAAUCUCCGGGCUUAACUCGGAAAGGUCAACUGAUACUGUGCGGCUAGAGUGCAGAAGGGGCAACUGGAAUUCUCGGUGUAGCGGUGAAAUGCGUAGAUAUCGAGAGGAACACCUGCGGCGAAGGCGGGUUGCUGGGCCGACACUGACGCUGAUGCGCGAAAGCCAGGGGAGCGAACGGG
Molecule: ribosomal RNA, 254 nt
Filed under: uncultured bacterium
Lineage: Bacteria
Description: partial 16S ribosomal RNA
Rfam family: Bacterial small subunit ribosomal RNA
Source: RNAcentral